RNAcentral lists this ribosomal RNA (790 nucleotides) under eukaryotic picoplankton environmental sample. RNAcentral describes it as "SSU rRNA". It matches the Rfam family "Eukaryotic small subunit ribosomal RNA", at positions 54 to 852 of the family's 1831-position model. The record is from RNAcentral.
CAUGUCUAAGUAUAAGCGACUAUACUGUGAAACUGCGAAUGGCUCAUUAAAUCAGUUAUGGUUUAUUUGAUGGUACCUACUACUUGGAUAACCGUAGUAAUUCUAGAGCUAAUACAUGCAGGAAGACCCGACUCACGAAGGGUUGUAUUUAUUAGAUAAGAAACCUUCCCCUUUGGGUUGCGUGCCGAGUCACAAUAACUGCUCGAAUCGCAUGGCUUCACGCCGGCGAUGGUUCAUUCAAAUUUCUGCCCUAUCAGCUUUCGAUGGUAGGAUCGAGGCCUACCAUGGCGUUUACGGGUAACGGAGAAUUAGGGUUCGAUUCCGGAGAGGGAGCCUGAGAGAUGGCUACCACAUCCAAGGAAGGCAGCAGGCGCGUAAAUUGCCCGAAUCCUGACACAGGGAGGUAGUGACAAGAAAUAACAAUACAGGGCUACAUCUAGUCUUGUAAUUGGAAUGAGUACAAUUUACAUCUCUUCACGAGGAUCAAUUGGAGGGCAAGUCUGGUGCCAGCAGCCGCGGUAAUUCCAGCUCCAAUAGCGUAUAUUAAAGUUGUUGCAGUUAGAACGCUCGUAGUCGGAUUUCGGGGCGGGCCUACCGGUCUGCCGAUGGGUACGCACUGGUGGGCGCGUCCUUCCUUCCGGAGACCGUUUCUGUUCUUAACUGAAUGGGAGCGGGGAGACGGAUCGUUUACUUUGAAAAAAUCAGAGUGUUUUCAAGCAGGCAGCUCGCUCUUGCAUGGAUUAGCAUGGGAUAAUGAAAUAGGACUUUGGGUGCUAUUUUGUUGGGUUUC